Molecule: ribosomal RNA, 387 nt
Filed under: uncultured bacterium
Lineage: Bacteria
Description: bacterial SSU rRNA
Rfam family: Bacterial small subunit ribosomal RNA
Source: RNAcentral
AUUGAACGCUGGCGGCAUGCCUUACACAUGCAAGUCGAACGGCAGCACGGGAGCAAUCCUGGUGGCGAGUGGCGAACGGGUGAGUAAUAUAUCGGAACGUGCCCAGUCGUGGGGGAUAACGUAGCGAAAGCUACGCUAAUACCGCAUACGAUCUAUGGAUGAAAGCGGGGGAUCGCAAGACCUCGCGCGAUUGGAGCGGCCGAUAUCAGAUUAGGUAGUUGGUGAGGUAAAGGCUCACCAAGCCGACGAUCUGUAGCUGGUCUGAGAGGACGACCAGCCACACUGGGACUGAGACACGGCCCAGACUCCUACGGGAGGCAGCAGUGGGGGAAUUUUUGGACAAAUUGGGGCGCAAGCCUGAUCCAGCAAUGCCGCGUGCAGGAUGAA